GCGCUUGUAGCUUAACUGGAUAAAGCGCUGCCCUCCGGAGGUAGACAUUACGGGUUCAAAUCCUGUCAGGCGCGCUA
This 77-nucleotide transfer RNA is filed under the name Candidatus Providencia siddallii. Its description in RNAcentral is "transfer RNA Arginine". It matches the Rfam family "tRNA". From Rfam's summary of the family: Transfer RNA (tRNA) molecules are approximately 80 nucleotides in length. Their secondary structure includes four short double-helical elements and three loops (D, anti-codon, and T loops). Lineage: Bacteria; Pseudomonadati; Pseudomonadota; Gammaproteobacteria; Enterobacterales; Morganellaceae. The record is from RNAcentral.